RNAcentral lists this ribosomal RNA (403 nucleotides) under uncultured bacterium. Its description in RNAcentral is "bacterial SSU rRNA". It matches the Rfam family "Bacterial small subunit ribosomal RNA", at positions 356 to 773 of the family's 1533-position model. The record is from RNAcentral.
GGGGAAUAUUGCGCAAUGGACGGAAGUCUGACGCAGCGACGCCGCGUGAGCGAAGAAGGCCUUCGGGUCGUAAAGCUCUGUUCUUGGGGACGAAUGAGAUGACGGUACCCAAGGAGAAAGCCCCGGCUAACUACGUGCCAGCAGCCGCGGUAACACGUAGGGGGCGAGCGUUGUCCGGAAUUACUGGGCGUAAAGGGCGUGUAGGCGGCCGAGCAAGUCGAGUGUGAAAAGCCCCGGCUUAACCGAGGCAUUGCACAUGAAACUGUUUGGCUUGAAUGCAGGAGAGGGAAGUGGAAUUCCUAGUGUAGCGGUGAAAUGCGUAGAUAUUAGGAGGAACACCAGUGGCGAAGGCGACUUCCUGGACUGUAACUGACGCUGAGGCGCGAAAGCGUGGGUAGCAAAC